This 253-nucleotide ribosomal RNA is filed under the name uncultured bacterium. RNAcentral describes it as "partial 16S ribosomal RNA". It matches the Rfam family "Bacterial small subunit ribosomal RNA", at positions 524 to 776 of the family's 1533-position model. The record is from RNAcentral.
UACAGAGACUGCAAGCGUUAUUCGGAUUCACUGGGCGUAAAGGGUGCGCAGGCGGCCAAGUGUGUGAGGCGUGAAAGCCCGAAGCUUAACUUCGGAAUUGCACCUCAAACUACAUGGCUAGAGCAUUGGAGAGGGUAGCGGAAUUCACGGUGUAGCAGUGAAAUGCGUAGAUAUCGUGAGGAACACCAGAGGCGAAGGCGGCUACCUGGACAAUUGCUGACGCUCAGGCACGAAAGCGUGGGGAGCAAAAGGG